GGGUCAGUAGGUUGGUCGUGCCACUGGUACGUACUGGUCUCACUGAUUCCUCCUUCCUGAAGAACCGUAAUGCCAUUAAUUUGGUGUUGCGGGGAAACAGGACUGUUACUUUGAAAAAAUUAGAGUGUUUAAAGCAAGCUAACGCUUGAAUACAUUAGCAUGGAAUAAUGAAAUAGGACGAUCGAUCCUAUUUUGUUUGUUUCUAGGAUUGACGUA
RNAcentral lists this ribosomal RNA (216 nucleotides) under Glomeromycotina sp. RNAcentral's name for it is "partial small subunit ribosomal RNA". The stretch from base 40 to 216 matches the Rfam family "Eukaryotic small subunit ribosomal RNA", at positions 686 to 864 of the family's 1831-position model. Lineage: Eukaryota; Fungi; Glomeromycota. The record is from RNAcentral.